AAGACCCAAAAAUUUAUUUAUCAUGUAUAGCUUCAACAUAUAAAAAAAAAAAAAAAUCAUCACCAACCCUUAUGGCAUUAAACAUCACGUGGAUCUGUCUCAAAAUCAUCAUGAUUUCUUUACUUGUGUUGAUGCAUAAACAUUUAGGCCGAUGGGUAUGGGGCUCGUCCCCCCUGGCCGUCCUUGAUCAAAGCCCCGUCGCCCCACCCCCCUGCUCCGUCCAAAUCCGCUGCCCCGGCUCCUCCGUCCAAAUUCCGACGGUGGCGACGAGCCACUCUCCCACACAUACACCUCUACAUACAUACAUAUAUAUAUAUAAAGGGGUUCAUCCCCCACCCCCUAGGUUCAUCCCCUUUAGGACUAUCCCACGUGGCGGUGACGUGACGGAUGAUCCCUUUGGAACCAUACCGGGUGGUCUUACGAGGCAUGGCCAUUGAUUUAAAAAAAAAUAAUAAUAAUAAAUAAACAAAUCUAAAACCAAUUAGUUGAGUAUCCAAACAUCAGACCAAACACGCACACCACCAUUUCUCUUUGUCUGCUCUCUCUUUCAUUUCCUUGUGAGAAAACCCUAUUUUCCCAUUCAUUUUGCAGUCGACACCCCCCUCUAAUUUCCUCCCAAAUUCUUCUGGCUUCAUCUUUUUGAGGAACCCUAAAUCAUCUACUUCAAAUCACAACCAAACCCCUCCUUAUCAUCUCAUUUCCACUCUCUCUUUGCGUUUUCUUUGGAGAAACACAGCCAAAUGCCCCCAACCUCUCGAUCCUCCCUCUCGACUGCAUACAAACGAGCACACACUUAUGCUUCCUGCUCCAUCUUCUUCUCAAACGACAACCGGAGCACCUCCAGUCGGCCACCGGCCUCCUUUGUGUUCACCGACAACCGCAACACCACCUUUGUUCAGUUAGAUCGAGGUGACGAGAAAGAGAUUGGAGAUGGCAGAGGAUUGAUGUCGCAGGAGAGGAGAGGCGGAGGAAGAAAGAGGUCCGACAGGGUGCCGCUGCUCACGGCAACGGCAAUGGAGGCGGCGGUGGUGGUUAUUUUCCGAUGAAUUUCACCGGUUUGGUGCAGUACAUAUGUAGAUCAGGUUCGAGUUUUAUUUGGGUGUUUCGAGUCAACGGGUCAAAGUUUGGUUCGGAUUCGUGACAGGAGCGGUUCGGGUCCAGGUCAACAGUUAAGGCAGUCAAGAUUCGGUCAAGUGAGUUCGAAUUUUGGUUCGGACUUGUUUUUGUGUGGUUCAACUCGGUUGACUCGGUCAAACCGAGUCAACACAGUCAACGAGAGGUCAAACGCAGUCAACACGAAAGACCGGUAAAGUGUUAAGAGUAGCGGGUUAUUCUUCUUGAAAGUUUAUAGAUUUUUAGACUACGCGAAGCCGAGCUCGACCCGUUUCGACUAGAUAUUAGUUACAUUUUUGUUUAUAAAGUUGAUAAAACUUAUAUUUAGUUGAUUAUAUUGAUUGAAUUGUUGUUGAAAUU
This is a long non-coding RNA of Helianthus annuus (common sunflower), 1473 nucleotides long. RefSeq lists it as uncharacterized. The transcript is spliced from 2 exons. NCBI's taxonomy places the organism in Eukaryota, Viridiplantae, Streptophyta, Magnoliopsida, Asterales, Asteraceae. The record is from RefSeq and is a predicted model, not a curated record.